RNAcentral lists this long non-coding RNA (202 nucleotides) under Olea europaea (common olive). Its description in RNAcentral is "long non-coding RNA (OEUR_LNC013814)". The record is from RNAcentral. Lineage: Eukaryota; Viridiplantae; Streptophyta; Magnoliopsida; Lamiales; Oleaceae.
AGAGGAUGAAGUUGGACCCCACCUUCAAAUUGGGUCCUUAAAAAAGUUUAGGAUUUUAGUAAGUUGGUGUGUCUUGCGAUGGAUAUGAAAGUAGACUUUUGCACUUAUUUGAGGAACUGGAGGCUAGUAGGGGAAAAGGAAUAAGUAAACAAGGUGGUAAAUCAGGAAGAAAGGGUAACCGUGAACUUAAGCGGCUCAAAUG